UACGAAGGGGGCUAGCGUUGUUCGGAAUUACUGGGCGUAAAGGGCGCGUAGGCGGUUCUUUAAGUCAGGAGUGAAAGCCCUGGGCUCAACCCGGGAAUUGCUUUUGAAACUGGAGGACUGGAGUAUAGGAGAGGUGAGUGGAAUUCCCAGUGUAGAGGUAAAAUUCGUAGAUAUUGGGAGGAACACCGGUGGCGAAGGCGGCUCACUGGCCUAUUACUGACGCUGAGGCGCGAAAGCGUGGGGAGCAAACAGG
This 253-nucleotide ribosomal RNA is filed under the name uncultured bacterium. RNAcentral describes it as "partial 16S ribosomal RNA". It matches the Rfam family "Bacterial small subunit ribosomal RNA", at positions 524 to 776 of the family's 1533-position model. The record is from RNAcentral.